This 316-nucleotide unclassified non-coding RNA is filed under the name plant metagenome. RNAcentral's name for it is "partial contains 5.8S ribosomal RNA, internal transcribed spacer 2, and large subunit ribosomal RNA". The stretch from base 1 to 105 matches the Rfam family "5.8S ribosomal RNA", at positions 50 to 154 of the family's 154-position model. The record is from RNAcentral.
GAAAUGCGAUAAGUAGUGUGAAUUGCAGAAUUCAGUGAAUCAUCGAAUCUUUGAACGCACAUUGCGCCCCUUGGUAUUCCAUGGGGCAUGCCUGUUCGAGCGUCAUCUACACCCUCAAGCUCUGCUUGGUGUUGGGCGUCUGUCCCCGCCUCCGCGCGCGGACUCGCCCCAAAUCCAUUGGCAGCGUCCCCUCGCCCCCCUCUCGCGCAGCACGAAUGCGCAUGACGAGGGAGUGGCUCCCGGGAUCGCGACCCACCCCCAAGAUGACCACCGUCUUUGACCUCGGAUCAGGUAGGGAUACCCGCUGAACUUAAGC